AUGUCUGCAAGGGUGUCGAGCGGAUGCUCUCUUACGCAUGUUUCUUCAAGCUCUCCUUGCGAUGCACUAGCCGCCGCAAGCAAGCUUCAUCAACAGUCAGUCGGGUCUGCGGAUGAUGGAGGGUUCUCCCACAAUACAACGUCGAUUGAGGCUUCAGUUCACGCCAGAGCUGAAGGUGAACGAGUGGAAGAUGGAGAUGCCGAAGAAGAACCUGAAGUGCAGUCCCGGCUUGCGGUCCUGGAAGAGGUGGCCACUCAUGAUCCAGAAGAGCAGAUCUUGUCUGACGGAGAGAAAUUCACUUACACGGGCAGCUGCUGCGGAUCAACCACCAACUGCGUUCGUCAAUCAAGCACGGACAUCAACGACUACGCCAACCCAUCCAAGCGCGCAAGGCUUGCUGAAUAA
RNAcentral lists this ribosomal RNA (405 nucleotides) under Triticum aestivum (bread wheat). Its description in RNAcentral is "partial small subunit ribosomal RNA". The record is from RNAcentral. Lineage: Eukaryota; Viridiplantae; Streptophyta; Magnoliopsida; Poales; Poaceae.